AUGGGGUGCGCGCGGACGGUGAAGGCCGGGGCUGCGGCCGCGGCGGCCGUGCUGGUGGCGGCCGGGGUGAGGAUGGUGGGGCCGGCGGCGGCGGGGUUCGUGGCGGAGGAGAUCCCGCGCGCGCAGGCGGUGGCGGCCACCUGGCUCACGCCGCCCUACCUGUACCUCGUCAUCAACGCCAUCAUCAUCUCCAUCGCCGCGUCCUCCAAGUUCCAGACCAGCCGCGCGUCGGGCUCCCACGCCGCUGUGGGGACGGAGCCGGUUCCAGUGCCUUCGCCGGCUCUGGCGAUGCCGAUGGAGUUGCCUGUACCCGCAGUGGCUAUGGCGAUGGCGGUGCCCGUUCCGGUGGCGCGUGUUCCUGAGGACGUGCCGGUCGUCAAGACGCCCCCUGCGCCGGUGCCGGCGCCGGAGAUGGAGGAGGAGGAGGACUUCCUGAUUUCAAGAUCUGCAUGGACGCCGCAGCGAAGGGUCACGGAGACGGAUGUUGAGGUGGCGCCGUUCGCGGACCUGACGAACAAGAGGGAGAAGCCGCUGUCGUCUGCGCGGUUCGGCCGGAAGGCGGCCAAACCCAGCCCAGAAGGCAGCAGGGCGCUGCGGGUGUCGCGGCCGCGGAGGGAGGACACCCUGGAGAGCACGUGGAAGGCCAUCACGGAGGGGCGGGCGCCGCCGCUGGCGCGACACCUCAAGAAGUCGGACACCUUCGACACCCGCCCGGGCCGUCGUCCGUCCGGCGGCGGCGAGGAGGUGGCGCCCCCCGCGGCGACGAUGCGCAAGGCCGAGACGUUCAACGACCCCGCCGCGGCCGUGGGCGGCGCGGGCGAGAGGAAGGUGCGGCGCGAGCCGUCGCUGGGGCAGGACGAGCUGAACCGGCGCGUGGAGGCCUUCAUCAACAAGUUCAACAUGGAGAUGCGGCUGCAGCGGCAGGAGUCGCUGAAGCACUACAGCGAGAUGGUCGGCAGCGGCGGCGGCCGUUACUGA
Molecule: ribosomal RNA, 978 nt
Filed under: Triticum aestivum (bread wheat)
Lineage: Eukaryota; Viridiplantae; Streptophyta; Magnoliopsida; Poales; Poaceae
Description: partial small subunit ribosomal RNA
Source: RNAcentral